GGUGCCAGCACAGGCUUAAUAGGGAAUCUGGUGAAAGACCAGAGCUGUCCCCGCAACUGUAAAUGCUGACGAAAUGGUGAUGCCACUGUGAUAGUUGGUCUAGUAAUAGGCUGCUAUGAUGGGAAGGAACCAAAGUAGGAUGACGUAUAAGUCAGUAGACCUGCCUCGCUC
RNAcentral lists this non-coding RNA (171 nucleotides) under Rubeoparvulum massiliense. The record is from RNAcentral. Lineage: Bacteria; Bacillati; Bacillota; Bacilli; Caryophanales; Bacillaceae.